GCCUUGGUGGUGAAAUGGUAGACACGCGAGACUCAAAAUCUCGUGCUAAAGAGCGUGGAGGUUCGAGUCCCGAAUCGAUAU
Molecule: transfer RNA, 81 nt
Filed under: Sinowilsonia henryi
Lineage: Eukaryota; Viridiplantae; Streptophyta; Magnoliopsida; Saxifragales; Hamamelidaceae
Description: tRNA-Leu
Source: RNAcentral